CGCGGCCUAUCAGCUUGUUGGUGGGGUAGUGGCUUACCAAGGCUUUGACGGGUAGCCGGCCUGAGAGGGUGACCGGCCACAUUGGGACUGAGAUACGGCCCAGACUCCUACGGGAGGCAGCAGUGGGGAAUAUUGCACAAUGGGCGGAAGCCUGAUGCAGCAACGCCGCGUGCGGGAUGACGGCCUUCGGGUUGUAAACCGCUUUCGCCUGUGACGAAGCGUGAGUGGCGGUAAUGGGUAAAGAAGCACCGGCUAACUACGUGCCAGCAGCCGCGGUGAUACGUAGGGUGCGAGCGUUGUCCGGAUUUAUUGGGCGUAAAGGGCUCGUAGGUGGUUGAUCGCGUCGGAAGUGUAAUCUUGGGGCUUAACCCUGAGCGUGCUUUCGAUACGGGUUGACUUGAGGAAGGUAGGGGAGAAUGGAAUUCCUGGUGGAGCGGUGGAAUGCGCAGAUAUCAGGAGGAACACCAGUGGCGAAGGCGGUUCUCUGGGCCUUUCCUGACGCUGAGGAGCGAAAGCGUGGGGAGCGAACAGGCUUAGAUACCCUGGUAGUCCACGCUGUAAACGGUGGGUACUAGGUGUGGGGUCCAUUCCACGGGUUCCGUGCCGUAGCUAACGCUUUAAGUACCCCGCCUGGGGAGUACGG
This 643-nucleotide ribosomal RNA is filed under the name uncultured bacterium. Its description in RNAcentral is "bacterial SSU rRNA". It matches the Rfam family "Bacterial small subunit ribosomal RNA", at positions 232 to 885 of the family's 1533-position model. The record is from RNAcentral.